UACGAAGGAUCCAAGCGUUAUCCGGAUUUAUUGGGUUUAAAGGGUGCGUAGGCGGGCUAUUAAGUCAGUGGUGAAAGCCCCAAGCUUAACUUGGGAAUUGCCAUUGAUACUGAUGGUCUUGAGUGCACUUGAAGUGGGCGGAAUGUGUCAUGUAGCGGUGAAAUGCUUAGAUAUGACACAGAACACCGAUUGCGAAGGCAGCUCACUAAAUUGUAACUGACGCUGAGGCACGAAAGCGUGGGGAUCAAACAGG
Molecule: ribosomal RNA, 253 nt
Filed under: uncultured bacterium
Lineage: Bacteria
Description: partial 16S ribosomal RNA
Rfam family: Bacterial small subunit ribosomal RNA
Source: RNAcentral